Molecule: long non-coding RNA, 491 nt
Filed under: Mytilus galloprovincialis (Mediterranean mussel)
Lineage: Eukaryota; Metazoa; Mollusca; Bivalvia; Mytilida; Mytilidae
Source: RNAcentral
UUAUAAGCCAACUAGAGGCUCUAAAGAGCCUGUGUCGCUCACCUUGGUCUAUGUGCAUAUUAAACAAAGGACACAGAUGGAUUCAUGACAAAAUUGUGUUUUGCUGAUAGUGAUGUGUUUGUAGAUCUUACUUUACUGAACAUUCUUGGUACUUAGAAUUUUCUCUAUCUAUAAUAAACUUGGACCUUUAGAUACAGUGAAAAAUAUUUUGUAAAAAUUUACAAAAAUUUACCAAAUUAGUGAAAAUUGUUAAAAAUUGAAUAAAAUGGGCAACAACUCCUUAAGGGGUCAACUGACGAUUUUGGUCAUGUUGACUUAUUUCUAGAUCUUAUUUAGCUGAACAUUAUUGCUGUUUACAAGUUAUCUCUAUCUAUAACAAUAUUCAAGAUAAUAACCAAAAACAGCAAAAUUUCCUUAAAAUUACCAAUUCAGGGGCAGCAACCCAACAACAGGUUAUCCGAUUUAUCUGAAAAUUUCAAGGCAGAUAGAUC